AACUAGUAUAAAAGCGGAGGCCUCAAUUCAUUUAUUUAUUUAUCUAGACUACAAGAGUUCGUUUAACAUGAAGAGGAUACUUGUGUUGCUAGUUAUACUGAACGUGUUGUUGCUGUUGCUGGGAUCCGGUGAAGCGAGAGCAGCUAAAAUGAAAUUCUGUAGAACAAGAAUAUUCGGCAAAUGCAUUGAGUAAAUGCGUUCAAAUUGUUAAUAAAAAUAAAUAUUACAGAUUUAUUAGGACAAUGUUUUUAAUCGAAAUGAAUAGAAGUUUUUCAAUAUUUUUUUAAUAAAUAACAAUAUUGAUUAAACCAAAGCGA
Molecule: long non-coding RNA, 317 nt
Organism: Danaus plexippus (monarch butterfly)
Lineage: Eukaryota; Metazoa; Arthropoda; Insecta; Lepidoptera; Nymphalidae
Exons: 2
Source: RefSeq, a predicted model, not a curated record